CCAGGCUCGCAACCCUGCUCCCCCCUCGCUCAGGGCCGCCCAGCGCCCCCGGCGGGUCCCCGGCCCCCGGGAAGCAGGGGGCCCCAGGGCGCAGCCGCCCGCCCUCACCCGAAGGCCCCUCGGGUGGUUGCGGGCGCCUGGCUUCUGCUUCCUCGAAGAAAAGUUACUCCGGGACCAGCGCGAUGGGAAAGGGAAAGCCACGCUCCCAGGGCGGCGAGCGUAUUGCCUGAGAAAGAAACCUCAAAAUGGAGGGGGAAGAGGAAGAAAUGGCUGGUUCUCAGGCUCCAGACGCGCAGGCUCAGCGGCCAUGGCCCACGGGCCCAGCGGCUCCGCGGCACGUGGGAUCCUCCCGGAGCGGGCCACGAACCCGUGUCCCCCGCAUCGGCAAGCUGACUUCCAACCACUGCGCCACCAGGGAAGCCCCUGGUCACUUUUUUGAGCAGAGAAAAGAACCCUGGGAUGUGAAGAGAAGGAGACAACAGUCAUACACCAAGCAGCCUCAAAUCAAAGGUGGUUAGGAGCACUUUAUCUGCAGGAGCUAGGGGAGAGGUUUUUCCAGAGAAGACACCACAUCAAAGCAAAGAUAAUAUUUGAUUGUAUCUUUACCAGUCACCUUGUGUUUGGAAAGCCUAGUUGGCUGUGUGUGAUUGGUUGUUCUUAAUUUAUUUUCUCAGAUUAAAGUGCCUUGACUCUGGAUUAAGUUUUGUUUGCUUAAACAGGCUACCAAAGCAUGAAAGUCACCUCAGCCUAAUGGCCUCCUUGUUUAAUUGCUUUAACACUGGAAACGCAGUGUUAUAAUGGGAUAUUAUACUUUUCACUCAUUCGCACGGUAAUUUAGCAAUGCUCCACAUAAUGUAGAAAUGCAUAGUCACGUUGGUGCAAAAAUUUCAUGUCCCAGAACCACCCAGAUAAGCCACAUGUAUACAAAUCAAAGAUCCACAUUCUCUGAUCACAGGAGAAAAACACAUGCAACUAUGCAUAUGCAUA
This is a long non-coding RNA of Physeter macrocephalus (sperm whale), 987 nucleotides long. RefSeq lists it as uncharacterized. The record is from RefSeq and is a predicted model, not a curated record. NCBI's taxonomy places the organism in Eukaryota, Metazoa, Chordata, Mammalia, Artiodactyla, Physeteridae. The transcript has 4 exons.